CCUGACGUUUCUCAGAACCGAGUCGCCAAUAAUCAGAGUUUGUUUAUCAGCGGGUGCCUCGAUGAGUGUAGAGAAUCUAUUUGAAACGUGAGCUGGUGGCUCUUUAAUCGUGGGCUUUUUAAGACUACCACUAUGCCCCCUCCGGACCGUCACCCAGCUGCCCUGGGCUCCCUGCUGCACGGGACUAGUCAGGGGGCUGCUAGUUAAGGCUAGGCUACGUGCUAAGCUAGGUGGCUCCGCGGCUAGCGGUAGCCGGCUAACUACAGCUAGCGGAGUUUCUAAGCUGCUGAGCCGAACUUCUAAGUCGCUAAGCCUCGCCUCCAUCGCUACCAACACACUACAUUUAUUACAAGUACCUCUACUGUUAAGGGAGGCAGAGGAGUAAGUAAACAUAAGACACUCGGAGCAAGAGAGAGCAGUGGAGCAACAGGGAGAGAGAGAGAGAAGACAUCGCUGCCAUAGAGCUACGAGGGUUGUCCCCCUUCAGAGUUAGAAGCCUACUUAAACAAAAUUAAGAGGUCCUUGGCAUUCUUCAUGAUGGGACUGAGACAUCGAUGAAGAAUGGGCAGGUCGAUCUUUCCAGUGGGAUGUUGUCCAGUGACAAUUCUAUAGUACUUCUGCAGUAAGUCUUCCAGACUUGACUUGCAAAAUGUCAUUGCAAGUGAUUGCAGAAGUACUAUAGAGCCAUCACAGGCCUGUUGUUGGAUCUCCCCCCGUACAUCCUGACAAGAUCUGUUUGAAACGCCUGCAGGAAGUGGACUGCAGCGAAUGUCUGUCAUCACUCUCCUGUGUCACCAAUGAUGCAACAUCAGUGGGAAAGUCAUCAUCGAAGUCUUUCUCCCGCACAUCCUGGAAAGACAGAUGGGGUGGGAUCAUUAAUUAAAAGACCACAAGGAAGUGCAUAGACGAAACACAUUAGAAAGUUGAAUGAAUUUUUUUUUAUUUUCAUCAUCUUACAGUUCUUAGCUCUCAAUCAAUUUAAGUGCAUAUCAGUCAUACACCAAUUACGUAAUAGACCCGUCAACAUGAUUCAGUUUGCGUGUUACAAAGUUUUCUGUAAAACAUCAUUGGAUAAACCUAUUAAUUUAAAAGCAUCACGAUAAUAACCGCUGUCUUUUUUACUUUCGAUGAAAUGACACGAUACGUACCAAAGAGGAUGUUUCCUCUGCAGUGGGUCUCUCCUCAACCUUGUCAUUUGUCACUUGGGUAUCGCCUGAAGUGCGCUAUAGAAUGUAAAACAUAAUAAUUGUAUGAAAAAAUGACAUAUAUUACACAUCACAGUUACUGUUAAUAACAUGUAUUAGGUACUUCAUUACAAAAAUUUGUUAAUCAAAAUUUCUAUCAAUAAAUUUAAAAAGAUUUACCUUCUGGUGAUCAAGUACUGCCUUACGGAGCUCCACGCGAUAAACCAAUGUGUUGGAAACCUCCAAUACACUGCAGACAUUUUUCCAAAAACCAGCUGGACUGUUCACACUGUAGUCCUUUAUAUUUCCACCGGGUUCAGAAAAUGUAUCGAUAGCUGAUACUAUUUCUUGGAGGCUUCUUUUCAGGUGUCUUCCCUUUGAAAUUAAAUAAGGCAAUAAAGCAUUUGCAUGACAACAUGCUUUGAAGCAGUAAAGGAUGUUGUGUCAGUGAAAUAUAAACUAUUUACAAAAAUAAAUACUUUUUGUGUUGUGUGAA
Molecule: long non-coding RNA, 1680 nt
Organism: Pleuronectes platessa (European plaice)
Lineage: Eukaryota; Metazoa; Chordata; Actinopteri; Pleuronectiformes; Pleuronectidae
Exons: 4
Source: RefSeq, a predicted model, not a curated record